GGUUUAAUUCGAUGAUACGCGAGGAACCUUACCCGGGUUUGAACGUAGUCUGACCGGAGUGGAAACACUCUUUCUAGCAAUAGCAGAUUACGAGGUGCUGCAUGGUUGUCGUCAGCUCGUGCCGUGAGGUGUCGGCUUAAGUGCCAUAACGAGCGCAACCCUUAUCACUAGUUACUAACAGGUGAAGCUGAGGACUCUGGUGAGACUGCCAGCGUAAGCUGUGA
This 224-nucleotide ribosomal RNA is filed under the name uncultured bacterium. Its description in RNAcentral is "partial 16S ribosomal RNA". It matches the Rfam family "Bacterial small subunit ribosomal RNA", at positions 943 to 1167 of the family's 1533-position model. The record is from RNAcentral.